RNAcentral lists this transfer RNA (71 nucleotides) under Candidatus Pacearchaeota archaeon. RNAcentral's name for it is "tRNA-Gly". It matches the Rfam family "tRNA". From Rfam's summary of the family: Transfer RNA (tRNA) molecules are approximately 80 nucleotides in length. Lineage: Archaea; Nanobdellati. The record is from RNAcentral.
GCGUGGAUAGUUUAGCGGUAAAAUCACUGGCUUCCAACCAGUUGUCCUGGGUUCGAUUCCCAGUCCGCGCA